CUACGGGUGGCUCCAGUGAGGAAUAUUGCACAAUGGGGGGAACCCUGAUGCAGCAACGCCGCGUGGAGGAUGGCGCAUUUCGGUGUGUAAACUCCUUUUAUAUGUCAAGAAAAUGACGGUAGCAUAUGAAUAAGCACCGGCUAACUCCGUGCCAGCAGCCGCGGUAAUACGGAGGGUGCAAGCGUUACUCGGAAUCACUGGGCGUAAAGGACGCGUAGGUGGGUUGGAAAGUCAGGUGUGAAAUCCUACAGCUUAACUGUAGAACUGCACUUGAAACUUCUAAUCUAGAGUAUGGGAGGGGGAGAUGGAAUUAGUGGUGUAGGGGUAAAAUCCGUAGAUAUCACUAGGAAUACCUAAAGCGAAGGCGAUCUCCUGGAACAUUACUGACGCUAAGGCGUGAAAGCGUGGGGAGCAAACAGGAUUAGAUACCCUCGUAGUC
Molecule: ribosomal RNA, 439 nt
Filed under: uncultured bacterium
Lineage: Bacteria
Description: partial 16S ribosomal RNA
Rfam family: Bacterial small subunit ribosomal RNA
Source: RNAcentral